AUUGAACGCUGGCGGCAUGCUUUACACAUGCAAGUCGAACGGCAGCACGGGGGCAACCCUGGUGGCGAGUGGCGAACGGGUGAGUAAUAUAUCGGAACGUACCCGGAAAUGGGGGAUAACGUAGCGAAAGUUACGCUAAUACCGCAUAUGCCCUAAGGGGGAAAGCGGGGGAUUCGCAAGAACCUCGCGUUUUCGGAGCGGCCGAUAUCGGAUUAGCUAGUAGGUGAGGUAAAGGCUCACCUAGGCGACGAUCCGUAGCUGGUCUGAGAGGACGACCAGCCACACUGGAACUGAGACACGGUCCAGACUCCUACGGGAGGCAGCAGUGGGAAUUUUGGACAAUGGGCGCAAGCCUGAUCCAGCCAUGCCGCGUGAGUGAAGAAGGCCU
RNAcentral lists this ribosomal RNA (388 nucleotides) under uncultured bacterium. RNAcentral's name for it is "bacterial SSU rRNA". It matches the Rfam family "Bacterial small subunit ribosomal RNA", at positions 30 to 417 of the family's 1533-position model. The record is from RNAcentral.